Molecule: ribosomal RNA, 477 nt
Filed under: uncultured bacterium
Lineage: Bacteria
Description: SSU rRNA
Rfam family: Bacterial small subunit ribosomal RNA
Source: RNAcentral
AGGACGAACGCUGGCGGCGUGCUUAACACAUGCAAGUCGAGCGGAAAGGCCCUUCGGGGUACUCGAGCGGCGAACGGGUGAGUAACACGUGAGUAAUCUGCCCCUAGCUCUGGGAUAGCUCCGGGAAACCGGGAUUAAUACCGGAUACGACCACCUUAGACAUCUUUUGUGGUGGAAAGAAUUUCGGCUAGGGAUGAGCUCGCGGCCUAUCAGCUUGUUGGUGGGGUAACGGCCUACCAAGGCGACGACGGGUAGCCGGCCUGAGAGGGCGAACGGCCACACUGGGACUGAGACACGGCCCAGACUCCUGCGGGAGGCAGCAGUGGGGAAUAUUGCACAAUGGGCGAAAGCCUGAUGCAGCGACGCCGCGUGAGGGAUGACGGCCUUCGGUUGUAAACCUCUUUCAGCAGGGACCAAGCGUGAGUGAGUGUACCUGCAGAAGAAGCACGGCUAACUACGUGCCAGCAGCCGCGGUAA